Molecule: ribosomal RNA, 30 nt
Filed under: Beauveria bassiana
Lineage: Eukaryota; Fungi; Ascomycota; Sordariomycetes; Hypocreales; Cordycipitaceae
Description: partial 18S ribosomal RNA
Source: RNAcentral
CGUUGAAGGGGGCAUGCGGAGGGAUCAUUA